Small nucleolar RNA from Macaca fascicularis (crab-eating macaque), 104 nucleotides. The record is from Ensembl. Lineage: Eukaryota; Metazoa; Chordata; Mammalia; Primates; Cercopithecidae.
AUCCUUUUGUAGUUUGUGAGUAUGAGGACUGGGUGUUCACACACGUGUGUGAGAUGUGCCACCCUCAAACCUGGUUACAAUGUCAGUACAUUACCUGUCUAACC